CCUACGGGAGGCAGCAGUGGGGAAUAUUGGACAAUGGGCGAAAGCCUGAUCCAGCAAUGCCGCGUGAGUGAUGAAGGCCUUCGGGUCGUAAAGCUCUUUUACCAGGGAUGAUAAUGACAGUACCUGGAGAAUAAGCUCCGGCUAACUCCGUGCCAGCAGCCGCGGUAAUACGGAGGGAGCUAGCGCUGUUCGGAAUUACUGGGCGUAAAGAGUACGUAGGCGGUUAUUCAAGUCAGAGGUGAAAGCCCGGGGCUCAACCCCGGAACUGCCUUUGAAACUAGAUAACUAGAGUCUUGGAGAGGUUAGUGGAAUUCCGAGUGUAGAGGUGAAAUUCGUAGAUAUUCGGAAGAACACCAGUGGCGAAGGCGACUAACUGGACAAGUACUGACGCUGAGGUACGAAAGCGUGGGGAGCAAACAGGAUUAGAUACCCUGGUAGUCCACGCCGUAAACGAUGAUAACUAGUUGUUCGGUCACUUGGUGACUGAGUGACGCAGCUAACGCAUUAAGUUAUCCGCCUGGGGAGUACGGUCGCAAGNUUAAAACUCAAAGGAAUUGACGGCUGNGAGNGCGAGCGACGACGAGGAGAG
RNAcentral lists this ribosomal RNA (589 nucleotides) under uncultured bacterium. Its description in RNAcentral is "bacterial SSU rRNA". It matches the Rfam family "Bacterial small subunit ribosomal RNA", at positions 338 to 944 of the family's 1533-position model. The record is from RNAcentral.